GGGGAUUUAGCUCAGCAGUAGAGCGCUUGCCUAGCAGGUGCAAGGCCCUGGGUUCGAUCCCCAGCUCCG
Non-coding RNA from Rattus norvegicus (Norway rat), 69 nucleotides. NCBI's taxonomy places the organism in Eukaryota, Metazoa, Chordata, Mammalia, Rodentia, Muridae. The record is from Rfam.